ACGGCUCAGUAACACGUGGACAAUCUAACCUAUGGAAGGGGAUAACCCCGGGAAACUGGGGAUAAUACCCUAUAGACUAUGGAUGCUGGAAUGCUCUGUAGUUGAAAGGUCCGCCGCCAUAGGAUGGGUCUGCGGCCGAUUAGGUUGUUGUUGGGGUAACGGCCCAACAAGCCUGUAAUCGGUACGGGUUGUGGGAGCAAGAGCCCGGAGAUGGAUUCUGAGACACGAAUCCAGGCCCUACGGGGCGCAGCAGGCGCGAAAACUUUGCAAUGCGGGAAACCGCGACAGGGGAACUCCGAGUGCCCGUUAAAUCGGGCUGUCCACCAGUUUAAAUAACUGGUGAAGAAAGGGCCGGGCAAGACCGGUGCCAGCCGCCGCGGUAAUACCGGCGGCUCGAGUGGUGGCCACUAUUACUGGGCUUAAAGCGUUCGUAGCUGGUUUGUUAAGUCUCUGGGGAAAUCUUCCGGCUUAACCGGAAGGCGCCUCAGGGAUACUGGCAGACUAGGGACCGGGAGAGGUGAGGGGUACUCCAGGGGUAGGAGUGAAAUCCUGUAAUCCUUGGGGGACCACCUGUGGCGAAGGCGCCUCACCAGAACGGCUCCGACAGUGAGGGACGAAAGCUGGGGGAGCAAACCGGAUUAGAUACCCGGGUAGUCCCAGCUGUAAACGAUGCGCGUUAGGUGUAUCGGUGACCACGAGUCACCGAGGUGCCGAAGAGAAAUCGUGAAACGUGCCGCCUGGGAAGUACGGUCGCAAGGCUGAAACUUAAAGGAAUUGGCGGGGGAGCAC
This 789-nucleotide ribosomal RNA is filed under the name uncultured Methanomicrobiaceae archaeon. RNAcentral's name for it is "bacterial SSU rRNA". It matches the Rfam family "Archaeal small subunit ribosomal RNA", at positions 85 to 879 of the family's 1478-position model. Lineage: Archaea; Methanobacteriati; Methanobacteriota; Methanomicrobia; Methanomicrobiales; Methanomicrobiaceae. The record is from RNAcentral.